Molecule: transfer RNA, 83 nt
Filed under: Pseudomonadota bacterium
Lineage: Bacteria; Pseudomonadati; Pseudomonadota
Description: Proteobacteria bacterium (activated sludge metagenome) tRNA-Ser
Rfam family: tRNA
About the family: Transfer RNA (tRNA) molecules are approximately 80 nucleotides in length. Their secondary structure includes four short double-helical elements and three loops (D, anti-codon, and T loops).
Source: RNAcentral
GGUGUCAUCGCAUAGUGGUCUAUUGCGAAAGUUUACUAAACUUCUGUCCUUCGGACGCGUAGGUUCGAAUCCUACUGACAUCU